UAGUGGCUCCCGUGGGUCCCCGCCUU
This 26-nucleotide non-coding RNA is filed under the name Mus musculus (house mouse). Lineage: Eukaryota; Metazoa; Chordata; Mammalia; Rodentia; Muridae. The record is from RNAcentral.